AUCUCGCUAGAGGAAAAAGGAAAUAGAACCUCCGCAACUUGCGCCUUGGAAAUACUGCCGGCUAGCGCUGCCGGAAACGCCUCCCCUUAACUCUGAAGUUCCGCGAUCUUCUCUUUGUGGGCGGGCGGAUGGAUCAACGCCGCCAAGUGGGGAAAGCACGAACACAGUCCCCCACUACAACAAAUUAUGCAGUCGAGUUUUCCACAUUUGGGGAUAUCGCAGGGGUCAGCACAUCCGGAGUGCAAUCGAUGAGCCUCACACUGGGAAAAACCACCUUCGUGAUCAUGAUAUCUUCCCUGCCAGAGAGAAACCAAUCAGCUUCAUUUUCAACUUCUUCUAUGACUCCAGAGGAUUCACUUUGCAUCUUGUGACAAAUGAAGAUAUUACCUGGAAAAAAAAAAAAGACAGGAUAGAUAUUGAAGAAAUAAUUUUUUAUAGGACUCUGGAGUGAAGGGAUUAAUAUUGACCAGAGCCAAUGAGGUCAUCUCAUCCUUGAGGGGUGCAGGUGUGAGCUUCAAAUGCUUAGGGCCUCUGGAAGGAAGCUUCCCUGUUGGAGAAAUCGCCAACCGGCUCAGCAUGCUCUGAAUGAGGAUGACAAAAGGAGUUGCUGCACAGGGGGAAAGCGAAGUUCCCAGGAGUAAGAUGUGCAAGAAGGAGGCAGUCUUGCAUCUCAGGGCUGAUUCCCUAAACUCUGUGCUUGAGGGAAGUUCUCCCCUUGCAGACACACUGCUGAGUGACAAGGAAGCGCCUAGACUCCACUCUGACCAGACUUGGUUCUGAGGCCUAUGAAAUGUUGAUGGGAAGAACAGAAGCAGGAAAAUCUAUCUAUUCAAAUUUGCAAGAGGUGGAAACUUUUAUUCACCUUCCUGGAUAGACUGUUCCUUUGUCAAAGUAAAGCUAAGGCCAUGGAAAAUGAGCUAUUUGAGAGUCUGUCGCUCCAAGGAAGAACAUGCUGGCCUAAUUGUCCCCCAAGUCAGGAGAGAGAAUUGUAAAAAGCACUUAAACAGGCCUAAGUAAAAGUCCAGCACAUUAUUCAUUUAAGACUGAAUUAGGACUGAGUCAUUCCAACUGAAAAAAGAGUGUUGUUGGAUUCUUAUAUAUUCGAUGGGUCUGCCCUAUUGAAAACCAUUGUGAAGUCUGGUUUCCCAAGCAAGAAGUGACACUUUCACUGUCAGUCUUUCUAGGAAUCUGGCAGAAUCCAGGACUAGGAUUACCCUUAUUUAUGAAGCGACCUUAGACUAACAGUGGCUCUCUGGGCCUGCAGACAAUUGGCCAGGGACUCUAAAAACCAGAAACAAAGUUGAGAGAACUCCAGGCUGGUGGAGAAAAACAGCUGGCGUUUAUUACCACAAUGAGCCCCAUAGAAGCAACAAAGCAGCAAGCGAUGUUCUUAAACAAGGGCCUGUGGGCCUUGUCAAGAUCUGGAGGAGUCAUCUACAACUCACUGCUGAGUGAGAGGGCUAGGCAGUGUCUUUAAGGUCCUGCCAGCUUUAACACUGUAUGCUUUUUCUUUUGUUCAAUCUCUCACCACAACUGGAAGUGUUGCCUCAACUACACAGGAAAAGUUUGCAGUAACUUAGAGAAAACAUUAUUUUAAUCACCAGUGUAUGUUCUCCGGCUCCCUGGACAAAUCCAUCAGCAGCGGCAACACUGACCAGGUCCAGACUGGGGCCACUGCAGUGGAUGUGAAUCCAUUGAAACCAGGGGUCUCCAGUGCUCCUGA
Molecule: non-coding RNA, 1723 nt
Filed under: Pongo abelii (Sumatran orangutan)
Lineage: Eukaryota; Metazoa; Chordata; Mammalia; Primates; Hominidae
Source: RNAcentral